GGUUAAGAAACCGAAUUUUCCGGUCGAUUUAAAGAGCCUGCCGUCUCCUUGUUUCACCCUGUAGAUUAAACCAGCAGUCGAGCGGGAAGGCACGUGAAAAUUAUGUUUCAUGCUCUGAAGAACGUGCUCUUGCAGGGCAUCCUCCUUCCCCACAAGAUGGACCCCAUGAAACAGAUGCUGUAAAACUAUUGCUGCUCGCGAGCCACAAUUUCACUAAUUAGAAAAGAUUUAGAACUUAGUUUAACCGUACACAAAUAAUCCAACCUUUAAAGGCCUGGAUUUGGACCCCUGGAAUAGCCUGCACCAACAUAAUUUGAUCCUCUCUGGUGGUGGUGCAUAGCCUUUACAGUACUAAUUCUACAACCAAAAAACAAGCGUUACCAGCGGGCGGAAACGAGUCGGCGCAGCUUCCAGUGCAUUAACGGCACGCUUUCACCACCAGCAAGAAGAGCAGCUUUGACGUCACGUGCAAGCCAUGAUGGUCCCAGCCGGAUUUAAAAAAUAUAAAGGCCGCACAAUAAAAACGUUUUACAGUAUUUGACAAAAAUUAAGAAAGCUUGAACAUGAGAAAGAACGGCACGCACAGUAUGAGUUUAGGUUAUAGGGACAUUAUAUGUUCGAUCGAGUAGCACCACACGUCAAUUUCGCGCUUUCUUAAAUUUUUUGUCCGUAUUCCAAAGAUUUCAAUCUAAGGCGCCCAAGACGUCUUCGAUUUCCAAGACGUCGUCGUCGUCGUUCUUGACAUCGUCAAGGCUUUUGAGGUCUUGGGCCGUGUGGGGUCUUACAUGAUAGAAUUUUCUUUCAGAUUUUCGUUGCAAGUUUUCCCAUACAAGUGCAAGUUUUCCCCUAUUUGUGUCCAAAAAGCAAGUUGCAAGUUUUGCCAUAUUUGUGUUCAAAAAGCGACGAAGCUCGCCCCGGGGCGUUCGCACGCGCACAUCGAGCGCCGUCGGGCGAGCUUCAUCGCCUAUUCGUCAGAUAUUCGCUCACAAAGCCCAGCCCAGAAGCACUGCAGCAAAGCAUAGGAGCCGGAGGUUGGAAGCAGUGGCUCGAUACAGAGAAAGACGAUAGCGAACGCACACGGUAUUUAACAACGAAAGACCAUGCAUGAAGUAACGCUUGAAAUGAACAAACUCACAUCUCCACGAUUGUGAGACUGCGCAGCUGACUUCUGCUCCAAAGGUCGCGGGGCGCCUUCAGCAAGAAUCUGACAACAAAAAGAUUUCGUCAAUAAAAUCUUACGGUUCACCGACUAUAAAAGCCUACCUUUUCGGUCUGAUGCCACCGAGCACGCGUCGACCGCGGCACGCUCUCUUCGGAUAAAGGUGCCAGGUAACGUCGGUAUUGCUUCGGCCGCUGCUUACUGGCCAUAAUGCCGUUUCAUAUGCAGAAGUUUCGGCAGAAUCGGCGUAGCGCUUGUUUGACGAGCAAUAAUGGCGAAGAAUGACGCGGGAAGAGCGGGAAGCGGGAUUAGUAGCGGUACAGUGGCUGUAGUAGCGGGAUUGGCGGGAUGGCUACCCGGGGACCUGGGUACUUCGAAAACGUGAAACGCACGCCAUCGCGCCAUAAACCGCAUUGUAAACAAAACCAUCUUUACAGUCUAUAGUGCUAAUAACAACGUCCUGAACUAAAUAUAAUUCUAAGUUGUAAAAUGAAACUUAAUUUUUUUUUAUUAGAGUUAUCCUUCUCUUCUGUAUUUGCCAUGGGUGUUAGGUGGCCGUCUCGCCAUAUGGCCAGCCGGAGUCGGCGCGCGGUUUCAGUUGGGCCGGUUGAGCCAGUUGAGCUGCUAGUUUUGGUUGCAUCACCUGCUGCGUAUGAGCUUUCAGUUGCUGAAAAGACCGCAGGACAUCUAUUCCUACAGGAAGAAAGGAGAUGAAUUUCGCAUAUGUGCAAUAUUUUACUGGAACAGCACGACCUAAGACUAUCAUCAGUACAUCUGCAAUUAAAAACUUUGAACCGAGAAGUGAGGAUGACUACAAGAAGGGUCACCUCUAUGAUGCUUUGUUGACUCCAGACGGAGGGGAGCCGGGCUGUUUUAAAGCCCAAAUACUACUUUUGGCAGACUCAAAGUCGUCGAUCGAGGAGAGGAUCAAAAGGGGCAAGAGGAUCCCUCUACCUAAAGUCCUUGACCAGGUUGUUGAGCACAGCAGUUCGGAAGACGACCAAGCAGCUCUUCGGGUCGAAAUG
Ixodes scapularis (black-legged tick) is the source of this 2184-nucleotide long non-coding RNA. RefSeq lists it as uncharacterized. Lineage: Eukaryota; Metazoa; Arthropoda; Arachnida; Ixodida; Ixodidae. The record is from RefSeq and is a predicted model, not a curated record. The transcript is spliced from 3 exons.